CGAGUUCACACUCGUGGCGAAUAGCUCAGUAACACGUGGCCAAACUACCCUUCGGAACACGAUACCCUCGGGAAACUGAGGCUAAUAGUGUAUCCCAUACCACCACUGGAAUGAGUGGUAUGUCAAACGCUCCGGCGCCGAAGGAUGUGGCUGCGGCCGAUUAGGUAGACGGUGGGGUAACGGCCCACCGUGCCAAUAAUCGGUACGGGUCAUGAGAGUGAGAACCCGGAGACGGAAUCUGAGACAAGAUUCCGGGCCCUACGGGGCGCAGCAGGCGCGAAACCUUUACACUGCACGACAGUGCGAUAGGGGGAUCCCAAGUGCACAGGCAUAGCGCCUGUGCUUUUCGGCACCCUAAGGCGGUGCCAGAAUAAGGGCUGGGCAAGACCGGUGCCAGCCGCCGCGGUAAUACCGGCAGCCCAAGUGAUGGCCGAUCUUAUUGGGCCUAAAGCGUCCGUAGCUGGCCGCGCAAGUCCAUCGGGAAAUCCACCUGCUCAACAGGUGGGCGCCCGGUAGAAACUGCGUGGCUUGGGACCGGAAGGCGCGACGGGUACGUCCGGGGUAGGAGUGAAAUCCCGUAAUCCUGGACGGACCGCCGAUGGCGAAAGCACGUCGCGAGAACGGAUCCGACAGUGAGGGACGAAAGCCAGGGUCUCGAACCGGAUUAGAUACCCGGGUAGUCCUGGCCGUAAACAAUGUCUGCUAGGUGUGGCUCCCACUACGAGUGGGUGCUGUGCCGUAGGGAAGCCGCUAAGCAGACCGCCUGGGAAGUACGUCCGCAGGGAUGAAACUUAAAGGAAUUGGCGGGGGAGCACUACAACCGGAGGAGCCUGCGGUUUAAUUGGACUCAACGCCGGACAUCUCACCAGCAUCGACUGUGGUAAUGACGAUCAGGUUGAUGACCUUAUCCGAGCCUCAGAGAGGAGGUGCAUGGCCGCCGUCAGCUCGUACCGUGAGGCGUCCUGUUGGGGUGGGCAAGGAGCCAGACCCGCACUCUUACUUGCCAGCAGUACCGCGAGGUAGCUGGGGACAGUAGGAGGACCGCCGUGGCUCACACGGAGGAAGGAACGGGCAACGGUAGGUCAGUAUGCCCCGAAUGUGCUGGGCAACACGCGGGCUACAAUGGUCGAGACAAAGGGUUCCUACUCCGAAAGGAGACGGUAAUCUCAGAAACUCGAUCGUAGUUCGGAUUGUGGGCUGCAACUCGCCCACAUGAAGCUGGAUUCGGUAGUAAUCGC
RNAcentral lists this ribosomal RNA (1238 nucleotides) under uncultured haloarchaeon. Its description in RNAcentral is "bacterial SSU rRNA". It matches the Rfam family "Archaeal small subunit ribosomal RNA", at positions 63 to 1301 of the family's 1478-position model. Lineage: Archaea; Methanobacteriati; Methanobacteriota; Halobacteria; Halobacteriales; Halobacteriaceae. The record is from RNAcentral.